UACGAAGGGUGCAAGCGUUAUUCGGAAUAAUUGGGCGUAAAGGGUGCGUAGGCGACAAUUCAAGUCUGUUGUUAAAUUUCCCGGCCUAACCGGGGUGAUGCGAUAGAUACUGAUUUGAUAGAGGUUGGAAGAGAGAAGCGGAAUUCUCGGAGUAGCGGUAAAAUGCGUAGAUAUCGAGAGGAACACCGAUGGCGAAGGCAGCUUCUUGGUCCAUACCUGACGCUGAUGCACGAAAGCGUGGGGAGCAAACAGG
This 253-nucleotide ribosomal RNA is filed under the name uncultured bacterium. RNAcentral's name for it is "partial 16S ribosomal RNA". It matches the Rfam family "Bacterial small subunit ribosomal RNA", at positions 524 to 776 of the family's 1533-position model. The record is from RNAcentral.